UCCAUUUCCUUCCUUUCCUUCACCGACACAAACGCCCUAAUUCUUCACCGCCAAUAAGAGACAGAUCGGGAAGCUUCUCCCCUGUACUUUCUUCUAGGUUUUCAGCUGUCGCCGGUACUGGUGAGCCCAAAGUUUCGUUCGCGGCUCCUAAAAGUUUGAGUCGCGAGUUCUCCUAGGUGCGUCGUCGAUUGUUUUUCCCCUACCUUGCUGCGACGUCGUCCGUGUGCGUGUGGACCUCGAAUUUCAGCUCUCCCUACUCUGCUUCCCGUCCGACUUCCUCUCUUUUUAAUCAUCGUCGGCGUGCUGGUGGGAGUGCUUCAGAUUUUCUCCUCCUCCUCCUUCACAGUUGCUGAGCUACACCUUCUUCCUCUUUUUACUGCUGUCAACGCGAUUCAGCUGAAAAACUGUUGUACUGAAAGAGGUUGCUGUUGGUCCCUUUAUUUUCUUCCUCUAUUGCUGCAAUAACUGAAAGUCACCUUUCCCCUGUUCAGCAUGAAUUUCGAAUUCUCCUUCCCUUCUCCGUCUCUGGUUGGUAAUAUGAGGUAUAGAACUUUAAGUUAACUUUCUUUUUGCUGUCCUGUGCGUGUGUUUUAGCUAAGUUGUUGACUUUUAUUUUCCUUUAACCAUGUGAAAUGCAUAGACAAGAAUUGGGGCUUAUUUGUGGUUGAGAUUAAUUUUCUAUUGAGGCAUACAUAUAUAUAUAUAUGUAUUCGAGUUUGUUUAAAUAUCUUCAUUGUAAAUUUUAGGAGUUGGAAUUGAUGAGGGAAAAUUGGUAUUAGCCUAUGACUUGAUGCUUAUGAAGAGUUUGAUAAAAUGCUUGCUAGAGGAGAUUUUGUCUGAAUAUGUAUUUUGGGAUUUAACUAACUCACAUAUAAGAAGUAUAUCUAAUUUGAAUGUUAAUGAUUCUUGUACUUAACUUGAAUAUUAUACAGGAAUUUAACAAUGAAGCGUGGUGGAGACAUGUGUAGCUAGUUGAAUGUUAAAAAGCUUUAUUGUGUGGUUUGGAAAUAAUGUACACUUGGUGUCUUAAUAAAAAGCUUAAUUUAAUGGAGUAAUUAGCAAUGGUUAUUGAACAAUUUUUAUGUGUAAAGUCUUGGUUCAAAAAUUUCAAAUCUAUUGUAGUUGGGGGUGACAAUGUUGGGAGAAAACUCUUGAACUUAUUCAGUGUCAACGAAGACCUUAAUAUAUUUUUUAGAGUGUUUAGAAGAGAAGAAAUUCGAUUGAAAUUAUAAGAGGUGAGCUUUGAAUUUUGAGAACAUUUUAAGUAAGUGAAUAGCAUCCCAAUCAAUUUAUAUAUUAGAAAAUUUUCUUUAUCAAAAUAUUGUUUUUAAUAAUUUACAGGUAUUUAUGUAUUUCUCUUGUUUUAGAUACUUUUGUUAAUUAAAUUGCUUUGUUUCUUGUAGUCAUGAUUUAUACUUUUCAGAUUGAUGAAAAUACUUUUACAAAUUUUAGUAAUCCUUUAAUUGAUAAAGUCAACUAUGAAAAUUGGUGAACAAUUUAUGAGAUAUUAGUUAUGAAUUUUUACAUUCAGGUAAAUUGAUGUUUUUAUACGUUUAAUGCGAGUUUGAUAUUUGGAAGAGAAAUUAUAUUUUUAAAAGUAAUGAUUUUCUCGUAUGUCUGAAAGUGGAUUUAAGAAGGGAUUGUAUACAGAACAUUGAUUGCUAACGGUAGUUCCGUUAACCCUUGAUGCGCCAUGGUCAAUGACUAGUUAGUUUGAUUUUCGUGAGUUCUAUUCUCACAUUUGAUAUUCGUGGGUCUCAUAUUUAUGUUUGUUUCAUGACUUCGACCACGUCUGGUUAUUUACUCUUGUGGGCUGUGUGUUCACGUCUGUUUUAUGGCUUUAACCACGUGUGGUUACCUACCCUCAUGGAUUGUGUGUCUACGUUUGUUUUAUGGUUUCGAUCAUGUUUGGUUACUUAUCCUCGUAGAUUUUGUGUCCAUGUCUGUUUCGUGGUUUCAAUCACGUUUGGUUAGUUACUCUCGUAGACUGUGUCUAUGUCUAUUAAUUGUUCUGACAAGUCCCUAUAAAUAUGAAUUUGAUUAUUUAAUGAUUUUAUAUCCCAUUGAUUUUAAUUAAUAAUAUGUUUUAAUUACUUAUUUUGUUUAUUUGCUUCCUUGAAAUUAAGUGAUAACAAUAUUUAAUAUGAUAACUUAAUGGUUCAAGAUUUCAUGUAAAAUUAUAUAGAAUUUUUUAUUCGAAAGUUAUUUGAAUUUUUAUUGAGAUCAUUGUCUUUUUAACUUACAUAAUUAUUUUUAACUUUUUUUAUUCAUAUUUAAUUAUUUGUUAUUGGGACGUUAUUCAUUGAAAAUAAUUUUGGUCCAUAUAGUGUAGUCGAUGUUGAACCUCUUGUUGAUGAAUAUUGAGAGGAUUUAUUGUUGACCAGAAUUGAAGGACCUAAGGUUGAAGUUUUUUUUAUUUAAAAUUUGAGUUAUGAAAUUUUAUUUUUGUAAAUUUAUAUCUAGAUGCUCCACAUAGUUUAUAGUUAGGUUUUUUUUUAUUUUGUUGCAUAUUUUGUCUAUUGGUUGGAAGGAGUUAAGCUCCUAAUUAAAAUGAUCUUUUAUGUAAAAUAUUGUGUUGUAGAGCUUUUGGAAAAACCUAUUCACAAGAGAGGUUCUGUCGAAAUUUCUAUAAAAAUAUUGAAACUUUUAUUAAGAUGAAAAUGGUUGUGCGUGUUAUAAAUUAAUAUAAAUAUAAUCAUGUUUUAGUAAUUGAAAAAUCUCUUGAUUUAAGGCUUAAGGAAUGUUGAUGUGAUUCACACCUCAUGUCGGUCACCCUCAAUUUUUGAGGCGUGACAGUUUUUGUAUAGUACUUUUGUGAUGUCGAGCUUAAUGAUGACAAAAUUUUUAUUUAUUAGUCUUCACAACACAAAUAUUUACAGUAUUGAUUAUCAUUCUCAAAAGAUUACCGAUGCAAUCAAGGCUAGAGGUAAGAGAAACAUAUUAUUUUUAGCUCUUUACAAUUCAUGGUGAGUUGUUAUUGUUACUUAUUUUUAAAUUUAGUUGACAUUUGAGUUAGUGAAAUAUUUUAUCUUUUCAGGCAACAUUGAAUGCUUGUUUGUAUCAAUCCAUUUUGCCAUCCAAUUUAUUAUCUUGACUCAUUAAGAGAUAAUAACUUUAAGAACUACAGAUCUAUGAGGAUAUUAUUUAAUCAGGUCAUAUCACGUUAUCAAGCUGGUGAAGGUCUCUCUCUAAAAACUGAAAAGCUUGAUCCUAUUAAGUUUUAUAUAUGAAAAAAAUAAAGGACUCUCUAACUUUGGAUAUCAAACAAAAGUUGAAUAUGUUUCGCAUGUAUAAAGUUGAGAGGAGUAAGUAGCAAAUUACUGUUUGAUGGCCCAUGGGAGUAGAGAAGCUUGUGGGUUUGAAUAAUGGAGGAGAACAAUGAGAAGAUAAAUAUCAAGCUGCAAGGGACAAUUAAUGGAUCUCCACCAUCAAGCUCAUUGUCGCACCUAAAAAAAUGCGACGCGGACGGCGUGCAAGCGGAUGUCCUAGCCUUCGCGGUGGGAACCGUAUGAACGAGGAGUCGCCACCAAGAUUUUGAAAAAAUUUUCGGGAAACCGAUUAAUGGAGGAUAAGGGUGGUCUACGAAAUCAGAGAAUAGGUUCGGAAGUCGGUUGAGUGUGGGGAAGGUGUUAGGCACCCUACAACACCCGUUCGUCAGAAUGGUUACUUGAAGUUUGUUGUGCUCUAUUAAUAUGAUUUUAAAAUUAUUUUAAUUAUUCCUUUUAUAUUCAUAUGUUUGAUAUAAAAAUGAUGAUAAUUGAGUGAGAAAUAUUUAUUUAUUUACGAGGAAGGACGGACUUGACUCAGAA
This is a long non-coding RNA of Prosopis cineraria, 3809 nucleotides long. RefSeq lists it as uncharacterized. The record is from RefSeq and is a predicted model, not a curated record. The transcript has 4 exons. Lineage: Eukaryota; Viridiplantae; Streptophyta; Magnoliopsida; Fabales; Fabaceae.